AAACUUUCAACAACGGAUCUCUUGGUUCCGGCAUCGAUGAAGAACGCAGCGAAAUGCGAUACGUAAUGUGAAUUUGCAGAAUUCAGUGAAUCAUCGAGUCUUUGAACGCACAUUGCGCCCCCUGGUAUUCCGGGGGGCAUGCCUGUCCGAGCGUCAUUG
RNAcentral lists this ribosomal RNA (159 nucleotides) under Penicillium sp. RNAcentral describes it as "5.8S ribosomal RNA". It matches the Rfam family "5.8S ribosomal RNA". From Rfam's summary of the family: 5.8S ribosomal RNA (5.8S rRNA) is a component of the large subunit of the eukaryotic ribosome. It is transcribed by RNA polymerase I as part of the 45S precursor that also contains 18S and 28S rRNA. Lineage: Eukaryota; Fungi; Ascomycota; Eurotiomycetes; Eurotiales; Aspergillaceae. The record is from RNAcentral.